RNAcentral lists this unclassified non-coding RNA (2581 nucleotides) under Ceratitis capitata (Mediterranean fruit fly). Its description in RNAcentral is "zinc finger RNA-binding protein 2, transcript variant X4". The record is from RNAcentral. Lineage: Eukaryota; Metazoa; Arthropoda; Insecta; Diptera; Tephritidae.
AUAUAUAAAAUUCUCUUACCGCUGUUAUCGAUAAUUGCUUUGUGAAUUUCCGACAAUUUUUCACGACUUGUGCGGAUGUUCUUCUAAAGAAUUUAAUUAGAAAUAGCUGGAAACAGGAUUCAAUUGAAAAUACUAUAAACCUUUUGAUUUUCGAUUUCAAUUGUGAAACAGGAAAUCUUAUAGGAUUUUAGGGUUAUUCGCCGUCAAGAGCGCUAAAAAUAACCAUUACAGGUCACAUUGAUUGGUAGGAAUUGAUUAUAAUGGCUAAUAAUAAUUAUGCCGGAUUCAGUUAUGGUGGUACUCAGUACGCUGCGGGAGGUGGAUACAAUCCUGGUCAAGUUGCUUAUCCUGCUGUAACAAACGCAACCUAUGCCAAUGCUGCUGCUUAUCAAUCAGCAGCUGCUGCUGGUCAGAGUGGCUAUGCAGCUGCUGGCGCUUCUGGAGCCGGCGGCUAUGCCGGGUACGGCGACUACGGUCGCGCCAUACCCGCAUAUGACGCUUCUAAGACAUUUUAUCAACAAGCGCCAGCUAGCUACAACACUGCACCAGCAGCUACUGUUAGCAAAACCCAUUAUUCAGCUCCACCUGUAAAGAACAUCAAUAAUACAAAAGCGCCGGGAGCUAAAGACAAGACAAAUGGCGCUGUUAAAACAUCAACGGCUCCGGUAUCUACCACUGCUACACCAGUUAGCGCUUAUACUAACUAUGAGUCAGCUUUGUAUAGUGCAGCAUCAAUGUAUGUUGCUCAACAACAGCAUCAACCCGGCAGCACUAUAAAAUCGAAUGCCAAUGGGGCUGCUGGAGCUGGAUGGCAAUAUCGUGCACCGAAGGGUGCCGCAGGUGGCGCUGCCAGUGCUGCUGCCCGUCCACGAACUAAGCCUCCACCACGGCCACAACAAUUACACUACUGUGAAGUAUGCAAGAUCUCAUGCGCUGGACCUCAAACUUAUCGUGAGCAUUUGGAAGGCCAAAAACAUAAGAAACGUGAAGCAUCAUUAAAAAUGCAAGCUACUGCACAGUCUGCUACACAAAAUCGUGGUAAUAAUUAUCAUUGUGAGCUAUGUGAUGUGACUUGUACUGGUACAGAUGCGUAUGCCGCUCAUGUUCGUGGAGCAAAACAUCAAAAGGUAGUUAAACUUCAUCAGAAACUUGGAAAGCCAAUACCACCAGAUGAGCCGAAGAAGUUAUCAAAGAUUAACUUUGUCCCAGCUAGUGGUACGACCGAGACUGCUGAGAAAACUGAAACUGAAAAUACUAGCGUCACUGAAAAUGGAUAUAUUUCAGAUAACCUAGAUGAUAGUGCUGGGGCGGGAGAAAAUACCGAUAAUAUUAAACCAGUUGGUGGCGAAUAUAUUGAGGAGAUUAAGGACGACGAGGGCAAAAUUCUUAGCUUCAAUUGUAAACUGUGCGAUUGCAAAUUCAAUGAUCCAAAUGCAAAAGAGAUGCACAUGAAGGGUCGUCGUCACCGUCUUCAAUAUAAAAGGAAGGUUCAACCCGAUUUGGUUGUUGAUUUUAAGCCCACACCACGUCAAAGGCGUUUAGCUGAAGCUCGCGCUCAGAGAGCAUUGAUGCAAUCUCACCGCGGCAGCAAUGUAGGUUUCGGCGAUGAACAUGAAAAUAGUGGUGGAAUGUAUUGGGAUGAGCAACGUCGCCGGGCACAGUAUGAUGACGAAUAUGAUUACAGCAAUUGGUUGGCUCGUAGUUUUGCAGGCGCUCAGCGUGGGUUUGGUGGCCGUAUGGGCAAUGGUCCGCCACCUUUCUUUGGAAUGAUGCCUGGUGGUGGUGGUGGAAAUAUUCGCCGUCCUGAGAGUACUGAUGAUCGUCAUGCUAUUGCACGCCACGCUGAAAUUUAUCCCAAAGAGGAAGAAUUGCAAACAAUUCAACGUAUUGUUUCUCACACUGAACGUGCAUUAAAAUUCGUAUCAGAUAAACUUGCUGAGAACCCAGAUGAAAAAGGGAUUGCAGCCAAAAAGGAGAAAGUUGACAAUGCCCAAGUAAAAGAUGGUCGUGAUAAUCAGAUGUUAUCAUUUCAAAAAGAGGCUGAUAGCGGCAAUGUACGCAUUCUUAAGGGUGUAAUGCGCGUAGGAUUUUUGGCCAAAGGCCUUCUAUUACAGGGUGACAAUGCUGUCGAAUUAGUAGUUUUAUGUUCUGAAAAGCCAACUGUUGGAUUGUUGAAACGGGUAGCAGCUGAAUUACCAACCAAACUGAAGGAAGUUGCAGCUCUUCAUCGGAUAUACAUACAUGUUAUUUGAGGUUUGUGAACAGGACAUACAGCUUAACUCUACUUCACUUUUGUUGUGGUGCGGGUACGCAUACUCGGGUACUCCUCCUACAUAGUAACUUUGUUUUCUCGCGCUGUUUAUUGCUGGACUGGAACUUGAACGGUGAGAACCCCGUUGAAUAUGUGGUUGAAGUCGUAGCUCAAGACUCGGCUGUAAUUGUGCGUGACGAUGUGGUGUCUGUUAAGAUAUCGCUGACUUCGCCGUUAUUACGUGAAGCUGCACAAGAUGGUAAAAGUGAUGCUGCCAUUAACGGCGGUACUGGUGAUGCUGCACUUUUGCCACGUGAGCCAUGCCUGAGG